Molecule: long non-coding RNA, 2698 nt
Organism: Dreissena polymorpha
Lineage: Eukaryota; Metazoa; Mollusca; Bivalvia; Myida; Dreissenidae
Exons: 5
Source: RefSeq, a predicted model, not a curated record
UGUGAACACCCACAGAGAGAUAUAUCCAUGCUGACACAGAAAGGCAGUAAUGACUAUGCUGUGAACACCCAAAACACAAUACAUCCAUGCUGACACAGAAAGGCAGUAAUGACUUGGUUGUGAACACCAGGAGCAAGAUAUAUCCAUGCUGACACAGGAAGGCAGUAAUGACUUGGCUGUAAACACAGAACACAAUACACCCAUGCUGACACAGAAAGGCAGUAAUGACUUGGCUGUGAACACAGAACACAUUACACCCAUGCUGACACAGAAAGGCAGUAAUGACUUGGCUGUGAACACAGAGCUUAAUACAUCCAUGCUGACACAGAAAGGCAGUAAUGACUUGGCUGUAAACACAGAGCACAAUACAUCCAUGCUGACACAGAAAGGUAGUUAUGACUUGGCUGUAAACACAGAGCACAAUACAUUCAUGCUGACACAGAAAGGCAGUAAUGACUUGGCUGUAAACACAGAGCACAAUACAUCCAUGCUGACACAGAAAGGCAGUUAUGACUUGGUUGUGAACACAGAGCACAAUACAUCCUUGUUGACACAGAAAGGCAGUAGUGACUUUGCUGUGAACUCAGAGCACGAUACAUCCAUGCUGACACAGAAAGGCAGUAAAGACUUGGUUGUAAACACCCAGAGCACAAUACAUCCAUGCUGACACAGACAGGCAGUAAAGACUUUGUUGUAAACACUAAGAGAUCCAUACAUCCAUGGGGUGUGCCACAGCCGCAAAUUACGCCCACUAUUGUGAACAAAGUUCUUAAAGUGAACACGUCUGGUUUGGUUAUGAGCACAUAGCACUCCAAGCCCAAAAGGCCUCGCAUUAAAUUGAUGCAAGAGAAGGCUUUGGAAAAUAACAGCAGUUUUGUUGUGUGGUCCAGUACGCCCUUCGACUCGCAACCUGAAGAAAGCAGAACUCAAACUCGUCUCUUAGCAAUAUCAGCAAGGCUAGCAUGUCAUCUCAGCUUCUUGAACUUCAGUGAACUUUACUAGCAAACAUGACUAACGUCAUUGAAGUGAAAGUCGAUGACAACCCCCUUCUUGCACAAAUACUACAAUUGCUUAAGAAAUUCAGCACGGAGACGUCUUGCGUCAGACUACCAAGCCUCCUAUCAAUAUCUUCUCCCAUGUUGGCUACAUCAACACUUCCAACAGCAGAGCCUUGGUGAGUUCGACUUCCGUCUCGGCAUCGAUGUCGCUUAGCAACAAUUGGAUGAUUGCGUCGACAAAUUAGGCCGGACAAGUUGCUCGAACUGAAACGAUCUGAUUCAACAGGUAGAGCAGGCGUUGCCUGACACGUCCGUUAAUGUGACUGACCACGAUAUGUUGUUCUCGAAAAAUGUGAACCUUAGGCCUGGAGAGCAGUAUGCGAUUGACGCCAUUCAACAACAGUUGUUGUCGGCAAUUCUUGGGUUUGGGGUGGCGACUUCGGCGUCGGGACUCGCUCCAUCUCUGUCUAUGGCCCAGUCGCAGCAGCAACAAGAAAAAUAAGUAGUAUCUUAGCGGUGUUCUGCGAUUUGGGGAUUCAUCCUGUUCCUACAGGAACCCAUGCAAUCAUAGAUCGGUACCUAGCUGAACAACAGGCUGUCUGGUCAGCUGGGCCCAGACGCCCAGUGACACUUCCUGGCCCAGGACCUUGGGGCAAAUGCUCAACUAGUCCUACCUGCAGGGUGGAGCCACUCUGAACCUGGGGCUCCAUACUUUCUUGGCCAGCGGCCAAGAUUACCUUGUCAAUAAGAAACCCGGAUAGCAAGGCGUUGAGUUUGUUCUUGAAGCAUUUGCACCAGAAGCAGUCAUCAUCUUGAUAUUCUGGAAUCUCCAUGGUGAAGGACGACCUCAGUCUGUGAACAAAAUGCAGAGCUAACCUCAGAUGCCUUUUGACGAAAUCAAACCAUCCGAUCACAAACACAGACUGUUGCAGCAGUUGUUACCAUAUUGACCGCAGUCAAACCUAAGAAGCUCAGAGAUAAAUACUGAUUUAGUUCUGCUAGUCUCUGCAUACGGCCUGGUUUGGUCAGCACUUACUCUGACUCUUUGAAUAUUAUGACGGAUGGAAAUGAAUGACCUUGUUCAGAUCGAAAUGGCAGAAUGACACAUCACAACAAUUCAAGUGGAAAGCCAGAAAGUCAUGUCAACAGCCACAUUUUGUAUGUCACCAGCCAAGUUGUAUUCAAAGACAAACAAUAGUUUAUGCUCUAUUGUGUAUGUGACCAGCCAAGUUGUAUUCAACGAAAAACAAUAGUUUACGUUUUAUUUUUUAUGUGACCUACCAAGUUGUUUGUAUAGGUCCCUGGUUUAGCAAAGCAUUAAAAGUAUUUUUAAAAGCACACAUAUUGCAUGUCAAUUCAAUGUCUUUGCCUGUAUUAUGAAACUUUCACUACAGAUGUUGAUCCUCAUGAUGGUAAAUAAAUGGGAAAUACAAUGUUAUCAAAGAUUUGUUAAGAUUGCCAAAGCUGUUUAAAUGAUGCUGGUAACUUGAACAAGAUUGAAAAAAACAUUGGAGUGUUUUCAUGUUAUAAGACAUGUUUCAGUUGUCUGUUUUUAACCCGUUAAUAUAGAUUAGCUAAUGAAAAGUAUUUGUUCAGAAAGGUGUAAAAUGUUUACGCUUCAGAUUUUUGUCAAUCAACCUUAUGAAAACAAUACUAGUCAAUUGGCUCAUUCGGGUCGGUAUUUUAUCAUGAAUCUUUUU